RNAcentral lists this ribosomal RNA (497 nucleotides) under uncultured bacterium. Its description in RNAcentral is "partial 16S ribosomal RNA". It matches the Rfam family "Bacterial small subunit ribosomal RNA", at positions 28 to 507 of the family's 1533-position model. The record is from RNAcentral.
GAUGAACGCUGGCGGCGUGCCUAAUACAUGCAAGUCGAGCGAACAGACGAGGAGCUUGCUCCUUUGACGUUAGCGGCGGACGGGUGAGUAACACGUAGGUAACCUACCUAUAAGACUGGGAUAACUUCGGGAAACCGGAGCUAAUACCGGAUAAUAUUUCGAACCGCAUGGUUCGAUAGUGAAAGAUGGCUUUGCUAUCACUUAUAGAUGGACCUGCGCCGUAUUAGCUAGUUGGUAAGGUAACGGCUUACCAAGGCAACGAUACGUAGCCGACCUGAGAGGGUGAGCGGCCCCAGUGGAACGAGGACACGGUCCAACCUCCGACGGGGGGCAGAAGUGGGGAAUUUUCCACAAGGGGCGAAGGCCGGAGGGAGCAACGCCGCGUGAGUGAAAAAGGUUUUCGGAUUGAAAAACUCUUUAAUUGGGAAAGAACAAACGUAAAGUAACCUCUGCCCGUCUUGAGGUUCCCAAAAAAAAAGCCCCGGCCAAAUUCCGUG